This 300-nucleotide unclassified non-coding RNA is filed under the name Cyanocohniella sp. ACSSI 322. RNAcentral's name for it is "partial contains 16S ribosomal RNA and 16S-23S ribosomal RNA intergenic spacer". The record is from RNAcentral. Lineage: Bacteria; Bacillati; Cyanobacteriota; Cyanophyceae; Nostocales; Nodulariaceae.
UUUAGGGAGACCUACACCCCUCAGAACUCGAAAACACACAGUGAAUAGAGGCUGAGUUGGUUAUUCCUAGGUCGGUCGAGAUUGGUAAAAGCUUUCAAAAUAUUUUGGGUUCAGUUUAUAUAAGUUAAAGCUUAAUUAGUUGAUUAAUUGGAUAAAAGUUCAGCAAUAUGGUGAAGAACCAGACUGCUGGGUAAAAGUCCAGCCAGAACCUUGAAAACUGCAUAGUAACGCGAAAAAAGCAGGCAGACACAGACAUUCAAGUAAUGAAAGUGUUUGCAAGUGGAAAACCAAUGUAAUUGU